This 1535-nucleotide ribosomal RNA is filed under the name Klebsiella quasipneumoniae. RNAcentral describes it as "16S ribosomal RNA". It matches the Rfam family "Bacterial small subunit ribosomal RNA". Lineage: Bacteria; Pseudomonadati; Pseudomonadota; Gammaproteobacteria; Enterobacterales; Enterobacteriaceae. The record is from RNAcentral.
UUGAAGAGUUUGAUCAUGGCUCAGAUUGAACGCUGGCGGCAGGCCUAACACAUGCAAGUCGAGCGGUAGCACAGAGAGCUUGCUCUCGGGUGACGAGCGGCGGACGGGUGAGUAAUGUCUGGGAAACUGCCUGAUGGAGGGGGAUAACUACUGGAAACGGUAGCUAAUACCGCAUAACGUCGCAAGACCAAAGUGGGGGACCUUCGGGCCUCAUGCCAUCAGAUGUGCCCAGAUGGGAUUAGCUAGUAGGUGGGGUAACGGCUCACCUAGGCGACGAUCCCUAGCUGGUCUGAGAGGAUGACCAGCCACACUGGAACUGAGACACGGUCCAGACUCCUACGGGAGGCAGCAGUGGGGAAUAUUGCACAAUGGGCGCAAGCCUGAUGCAGCCAUGCCGCGUGUAUGAAGAAGGCCUUCGGGUUGUAAAGUACUUUCAGCGGGGAGGAAGGCGAUAAGGUUAAUAACCUUGUCGAUUGACGUUACCCGCAGAAGAAGCACCGGCUAACUCCGUGCCAGCAGCCGCGGUAAUACGGAGGGUGCAAGCGUUAAUCGGAAUUACUGGGCGUAAAGCGCACGCAGGCGGUCUGUCAAGUCGGAUGUGAAAUCCCCGGGCUCAACCUGGGAACUGCAUUCGAAACUGGCAGGCUAGAGUCUUGUAGAGGGGGUAGAAUUCCAGGUGUAGCGGUGAAAUGCGUAGAGAUCUGGAGGAAUACCGGUGGCGAAGGCGGCCCCCUGGACAAAGACUGACGCUCAGGUGCGAAAGCGUGGGGAGCAAACAGGAUUAGAUACCCUGGUAGUCCACGCCGUAAACGAUGUCGAUUUGGAGGUUGUGCCCUUGAGGCGUGGCUUCCGGAGCUAACGCGUUAAAUCGACCGCCUGGGGAGUACGGCCGCAAGGUUAAAACUCAAAUGAAUUGACGGGGGCCCGCACAAGCGGUGGAGCAUGUGGUUUAAUUCGAUGCAACGCGAAGAACCUUACCUGGUCUUGACAUCCACAGAACUUAGCAGAGAUGCUUUGGUGCCUUCGGGAACUGUGAGACAGGUGCUGCAUGGCUGUCGUCAGCUCGUGUUGUGAAAUGUUGGGUUAAGUCCCGCAACGAGCGCAACCCUUAUCCUUUGUUGCCAGCGGUUAGGCCGGGAACUCAAAGGAGACUGCCAGUGAUAAACUGGAGGAAGGUGGGGAUGACGUCAAGUCAUCAUGGCCCUUACGACCAGGGCUACACACGUGCUACAAUGGCAUAUACAAAGAGAAGCGACCUCGCGAGAGCAAGCGGACCUCAUAAAGUAUGUCGUAGUCCGGAUUGGAGUCUGCAACUCGACUCCAUGAAGUCGGAAUCGCUAGUAAUCGUAGAUCAGAAUGCUACGGUGAAUACGUUCCCGGGCCUUGUACACACCGCCCGUCACACCAUGGGAGUGGGUUGCAAAAGAAGUAGGUAGCUUAACCUUCGGGAGGGCGCUUACCACUUUGUGAUUCAUGACUGGGGUGAAGUCGUAACAAGGUAACCGUAGGGGAACCUGCGGUUGGAUCACCUCCUU